AGAUUAAGCCAUGCAUGCGUAAGUGCAUACCAGAUAUGGUGAAAACCGCGAAUGGCUCAUUACAUCAGUCGUAGUUUAUAAGACGAUAUGACAAGUGGAUAACUGUGGAAAAUCUAGAGCUAAUACAUGCACAAUAGUCCUGACGCAAGAAAGGAUGCAUUUAUCAGAUCAAAGCCAAUGUUUUCGUAAGAAUUCUAAACUGUGAUGACUCUGGGUAAAUUAUCGGAUUGAUCUGCUCUUAAGCAGGCGACGUUGAUUGCAAGUGUCUGACCUAUCAACUUUUGUUGGCAGUCGACAUUACUGCCAUGGUUGUAACGGGUAACGGGGAAUCAGGGUUCGAUUCCGGAGAGAGAGCAUGAGAAAUGGCUGUCACAUCCAAGGAAGGCAGCAGGCGCGCAAAUUACCCAAUCCCUGAUCGGGGAGGUAGUGACGAGAAAUAUCAGUACCGGCUUUUUGUUUGGUAAUUGAAAUGAGAACAAUGAAAGAAUUUUAUCGAGUAUCUAUUGGAGGGCAAGCUCUGGUGCCAGCAGCCGCGGUAACACCAGCUCGAAAAGCGUAUGUUAAAGUUGCUGCGGUUAAAACGCUCGUCGUUGGACAUCAGGAAGAACUCUGUGGACGAUCGAGUAUCGUUUCUGUGGAUGUAUUCCUUUAUACACCUUUUCUCUGUCGUGCACUUUAAUGUGUGGGACGGUAGAUGGUGAUUGUCACUUUGAGAAAAUUAGUGUGCUCAACACAGGCUUUGUGCUUGUAUAAUGCUGCAUGGGAUGACGGAAUAGGGCCUCGGUUCCGUUUCGUUGGCUUACGAAAGCAGAGGUCAUGAUUAAUCGGGACAGACGGGGGCAUUCGUAUUGUGGUGCUAGAAGUGAAAUUCUGUGACCAUCGCAAGACGAACAACUGCGAAAGCAUUUGCCAAGAAUGUUUUCAUUAAUCAAGAACGAAAGUUAGAGGAUCGAAGACGAUUAGAUACCGUCCUAGUUCUAACUGUAAACUAUGCCGACUGGGGAUUCGCCAGUGUCAACAAACUUGGCGAGCACCCUCCGGGAAACCAAAGUGAUUGGGUUCCGGGGGGAGUAUGGUUGCAAAAUCGAAACUUAAAGGAAUUGACGGAGGGGCACACCAGAAGUGGAGCCUGCGGCUCAAUUUGACUCAACGCACGAAAGCUUACUCGGUCCGAACACCGUGAGGAUUGACAGGUUGAAAGCUCUUUCUUGAUCCGGUGGGUAGCGGUGCAUGGCCGUUCGUAGUUGGUGAAGUGAUUUGUCUGGUUUAUUCCGAUAACGAACGAGACUCUGGCCUACUAAUUAGCGUAGUGAUCUCAUGUCGCUAUAAUGCUUCUUAGAGGGACAGGCGCAAUGAAAGGCGCACGAAGUAGAGCAAUAACAGGUCUGUGAUGCCCUUCGAUGUUCGAGGCUGCACGCGCGCUACAAUGGAGGGCGCAAAGCGCAUGUUGCCUCUUGAAAGAGAGUUGCAGAAUCGUAAAUAGCCUUCAUGACUGGGAUCGGAGAUUGAAAUUAUUCUUCGUGAACGAGGAAUUCCUAGUAAGCGCGAAUCAUUACUUCGCGUUGAUUAAGUCCCUGCCCUUUGUACACACCGCCCGUCGCUACUACCGAUUGAAUGAUUUGGUGAGGUCUGUGGAUAGGUGCAGUGGGGCCACAAACCCUAUUGAUUACCUAAAAGCUGACCAAGCUUGAGCGUUUAGAGGAAGUAAAAGUCGUAACAAGGUUU
This 1725-nucleotide ribosomal RNA is filed under the name Acanthocephalus lucii. Its description in RNAcentral is "SSU rRNA". It matches the Rfam family "Eukaryotic small subunit ribosomal RNA". Lineage: Eukaryota; Metazoa; Acanthocephala; Palaeacanthocephala; Echinorhynchida; Echinorhynchidae. The record is from RNAcentral.